Molecule: ribosomal RNA, 307 nt
Filed under: uncultured eukaryote
Lineage: Eukaryota
Description: partial 18S ribosomal RNA
Rfam family: Eukaryotic small subunit ribosomal RNA
Source: RNAcentral
CCCUUAGACGUUCUGGGCCGCACGCGCGCUACACUGACGAAGGCAACGAGCUUUCCUUUACCGAAAGGUACGGGUAAUCUUUUGAAACUUCGUCGUGCUGGGGAUAGAUCCUUGCAAUUUUUGAUCUUAAACGAGGAAUGCCUAGUAAGCGCAAGUCAUCAACUUGUGUUGAUUACGUCCCUGCCCUUUGUACACACCGCCCGUCGCUACUACCGAUUGAAUGGUUUAGUGAGGCCUUCGGAUCCGCGACUCGUUUGUGGAGAAGUUGGACAAACUCAGUCAUUUAGAGGAAGUAAAAGUCGUAACA